UUUAUAGUUCUGGAGAUGAAGUUCCACAACUUUUGCUAGCCCUCCACAGUCAAAAGAUUUGUCUGCUUUUGUCAAAUCCUCUUUGCCAUCAUCAAAGGACUUAUUAAAGAAAUUCUCCUCUCAAUAGAGAGCACAAACAGCUGGCCACCAUCACCUGAGUAAUAACCCCUCAGGAGCACAAUGGACCUGGUGCACCAUGAAGAGGAAAUUUCCUAAGUGGACACAGAAAUCUUGAAGAGGAUGCUGUAUGGGCAAACAUUACUUAACUGUCUCCAUGUACCUAGCUACAACCAGGCCCCAUAAGUACAGGUGAGCAGUGCAAACCCACAGCUAAAUGUGAGGCCACAGUCUUUCCUCACAUCUGCAGUCCUGUUUGGCAGUGAAAUGCACAGGAUAGAUGAUCAAUACUAACAAAGCUAUCAACCUUGAUGAUACCGAGGCUCAUUUAUAUGGAGAUAAGUGCUGGUAAGGGAGUAGAGGAAAAAGGCAAAGUUAACCAGAAAGAUCUACACUUCAAUGAAGCAAAGUUCCAAUCUGCCUCGAAGGGAAGGAAAGGAAAUGCAAAGAUACAACAUCUAGAGAUGGAAGAAGGCUGCUAUGAAUCAAGAGUGUAGGAGUGGCGAACUGGAAGGUCUGAGUCCUUAACAAUAUGUAGCACCAUAUCAGCCCCAAACUGACAGCUUCCAGACCUGUAGAAAUGAGUCAUCUCCAGAGACAGGAAGGAGAAACAUUCUGCAUGAGGAUGUGUCCAUCUCAGGGGAAGCAUAUGAAACUGUAGAAGCAGCUCACACAACAAAGCAUUUGUUUUUGAAAUUAGACACCUUGAAAUGAAGAGGCCAAGAGGAAGCCUCUGGAAAGGCACACAAGAUGGGACCCAUACCAAGAGGAACUGAAUCCCCAGGCCCUCAGCCUUCCCUGAGCUCCAGCUGACAACUAACCUCAAAUUGCCAGCCAUGCCUAAUGGAUGAAAUGAAACUUGGUGAGCUCCCAGAGUUGGACAACCUUCAGAAUGCUGAGACAGACCAAAUGAAGGAAGAAGAAAAGUUCUCCAAAACUCAGCCCUCCCAGCACCUAUGGCAGGGUCCUGUUUUUUCAGUGAAAAGCCAUUGGACUUUGCAAACCAGUAAGUGACCUCUAUGAUGACAAAAGCUUCUGAGUUUCCAGAAUCUUUUGUUCAGCCCUCUCAUUUUUCCAGCCAAAGAAGAUGGCAUAUAAAGUAUGAAUGAUACCUGACUUUCAUCAUCUAGCAAAAUGACUUGCACAUACAAAGUAGAUUCUCAAUAAAUAUUCAUUCAUUUCUGAUUGUCUCCAAGAGAAAAAACAUGUUGUAAAACCAAUUCAAAGUGUUAAAGUUAGGUUUCUUUGUUUGGGAUUUGCUUUUAUUUAUCUGCUUAGUUUAAAUUCAUCUCAACUUCUUUUGGUUAAGAUUGGUAUCAAGAUUAAUAGCCUUAAAUCUGUUCCUCUUGUAAUUGUGUGUUUAGAAUGACAUCAAACAACAUAGUUUUCAAUGAAUGAGUCUUCACAUGUAUCUAUUAGAUGUACUAUUGCAGGUGCACUUUUUCUAAACCUGUCUGAAAUACACAAAUUUCUUAUUAGUAGGAUCUAUUUCUUAACAGGGCAGAAAUAGCAUGAAAACAUCUCUUGUAUUUAUUUUUGUUUUAUACACUAUAAUUUUAAUCUCGCCUUCUAUUAUUGUUAUGUAAAAAAGAUAAAAGCCAUUGACCUCGAUAAAACAACUUUUUUUUUUUGUAAUGCUGAAUAUAGUGUUGGAUUGUAGAUCAGAUCCUGUUGUUUGCUUCCUCAAAUAAAAAUCAUAUUCAGGAGGAAA
This is a long non-coding RNA of Zalophus californianus (California sea lion), 1828 nucleotides long. RefSeq lists it as uncharacterized. NCBI's taxonomy places the organism in Eukaryota, Metazoa, Chordata, Mammalia, Carnivora, Otariidae. The transcript has 6 exons. The record is from RefSeq and is a predicted model, not a curated record.